RNAcentral lists this ribosomal RNA (1308 nucleotides) under Triticum aestivum (bread wheat). Its description in RNAcentral is "partial small subunit ribosomal RNA". Lineage: Eukaryota; Viridiplantae; Streptophyta; Magnoliopsida; Poales; Poaceae. The record is from RNAcentral.
AUGGAGAGGGAGCCGCCCACGCAGGGCCCCCCUAGCGCCGCCGCCACCUAUGGCUCACCCCGCCGCAGGGCGUGGAAGCGGUGCGUCCACUCCGGCCACCACGACAGCGCCACCUGGGGCCACGCCACCACCGCCGACUUCGCGCCCGUGCCCAGGAUGUGUCACCUCGUCAUGGCCAACUACGCCCCGCCCGACCUCCUCGCUGCGCUGCCCCUCCUCCUCGACCCCUCAAACGUCAUGCGCCGCCGCACCUAUGCCGACACGGGGGGCCGGGUCACGCCCUACCUCGUCUACCUCGACCACGCACACGCCGACUUCGUGCUCGCACUGCGCGGCCUCAACCUCGGUCGCGAGUCCGACUACGCGCUGCUCCUCGACAACCGCCUCGGCAAGAGUCGCUUCGACGGCGGCUACGUCCACAACGGCCUCCUCCGCGCCGCCGGCUGGGUGCUCGACAGGGAGUGCGACCUGCUCCGGGACCUCCUCGACCAAUACCCCGCCUACACGCUCACCUUCACGGGCCACUCCCUCGGCGCCGGUGUCGCCGCCAUGCUCGCCAUGUUCGUCGUGCUCAACCUCGACAAGCUCGGCAAGGUCGAGAGGGGCCGCACCAGGUGCUACGCCAUGGCCCCCGCCCGCUGUAUGUCGCUCAACCUCGCCGUUAGAUAUGCCGAUGUCAUCAACUCCGUCGUGCUGCAGAAUCUGGUUCAGUUAAAAACUGCACUGUCAAAUCUGGACAGCCAGCUUCUAUUGGUUGGACCCUUCGGCGAACCCUGCGCAAGCAGGAGCUAUGUGCAGUGCGCUGCCCUUUUUUAUCAUCUUGAAAAUGUCACCACUACUUGUUUUAUUCUCUGUGCACUGUGUUUGCUGGAGACUAACAUUCUCUUAUUUGACCAUGCAGUGAUUACCUCUUCAAGCUAUUGCUUAUUGGAGACUCAGGUGAGGUCCCCGGGGUGGAGGACCUCGACGCCACCAUCCGGAAGUCACCGAGGUGGAGGACGACGCCACCGUCCGGAGUUCCUCAAGGUGGAGGACCUCGACGCUUUGUACAUACAUCUAGAGAAGCAAUUCUUUUUCAUGAAGAUUUCGACUAAACUUGGAAAAAUUAAACUCAUGAGACUCAUUACCAAAACUAACACCGAAAGUUUGUUUCUCACAAUCUAUCUUAGCAUUAACGAUGUUCAAGAUGGUUCUACCAAAGAUAAUGGGACAAAAGUCAUCUUGUGGGGAACCAAGAACAAGAAAAUCAGUUGGGUAUUUUAUUUUCCCACACAAGACUUCAACAUCUCUGACAAUCCCAAUUGGUGA